RNAcentral lists this long non-coding RNA (1186 nucleotides) under Apteryx haastii (Great spotted kiwi). RNAcentral's name for it is "lncRNA (ENSAHAG00000009663.1)". The record is from RNAcentral. Lineage: Eukaryota; Metazoa; Chordata; Aves; Apterygiformes; Apterygidae.
ACACAGAGCCUCUGUGCAGCUAACAGUCGUCUUCUGCACACGUAUCCCGAGCUGCUUCAAUGGAAGAAGCAAUCCAGCUCACUGGCAGCAGCAAAUAUUUAAAAGGAAGCAGUGGUACAGCUUGAGCCUUGAAUUCGGAGUCUUGGAUUUCUCUCAGUUCUGUGAGACAAGUACACUGCCCCUAAGCAUUAAAGGAAAUGCUGAGGUUUUUUUAGUUGUUUAGACAACUCUCUGGGUUACUUGUUAUCAGACAUGAUAAAACCUUUCUCCUUGAAAGCUGCAUAUAUCUGAUGUGACAGUAAGGCUCCCCCACCCUGAAAUGUAUAUUUGCAGAGAAGACGAAAGAAAAGAGGUAUUUUACAACAAAACAAGCUGCAAAAUAAAGAGCUAGAAAGACAGACACUGAAGAGCUUUGACAAAACUUAAACAUUGAGCUACUUCUUUGACCUCUGCUAAUCAUGAUGGAGUGGUAUUUACAGGAGGAUUAACACCUUUUGUCUUGAGUCAUAGAAGACACCAACAAGAGGUGGCAAUAAAGACUGUUAGAGUGAAGAUACCUUUCAACUUUUCUGCAUUGGUUUUCGGUUCUAGCUCCCUCUGCUACUAUCAGCCUAGUAGUCUCUUACAGCAACGGCGGUGCAAGAUCAUAUUGUGGUUAAAACAGCUGAGAGCUUGUCAAGAGUAGUGCUCUGCUCUCACAGUGAGAAGGAAUUGCACCAGUGACACUGAAUCUAUGAAAACAGUUAUAUGAAAAUAAUUGUAGGGUAGGAUUACGCUCAAAGUAUAAGUCUUUCCAGCAGGUUGCAAUUUCAAAAAGUUUCAGACACUAAUUUGUGCUGUUCUAAUUAAGAAAAUCAUAGGCUAUGUAAAACACUUUGGCCUACUGAAAAUACCCUUCACUUAAGAUGGCACAUGAAGUCAAACUAUAAUUUUGUAUGUGUUUAUUACUAAGUAACAGGAUGUUCUGGAGAAAAAACAAGAUUGUAGGAUGAAGUAAAAGUUUAAGAUUCUAUAAAUGAUUAUGUAGUCCAAGUCAUCACUGCUGUAAACAGUUUGAGUAAAAACACAACACAAGGAGCAGUGGUAUCAAUAGUAAGGAGAAUUUAGACAUUGCAAUGCAGAGUAGUAUUUCACAGAAACGGAUCUUAUGAAUAAAUACAAAGAAGGGAGAUGUAAGGUUGGCUCU